Lutra lutra (Eurasian river otter) is the source of this 818-nucleotide long non-coding RNA. RefSeq lists it as uncharacterized. The record is from RefSeq and is a predicted model, not a curated record. Lineage: Eukaryota; Metazoa; Chordata; Mammalia; Carnivora; Mustelidae. The transcript is spliced from 5 exons.
AGCAGCUGGGCUGAGAACAUCCCAGCCCAGGGCUCCCUGGAGACUGAGAGGAGAGAGAAGUCAGAAGAACAACUAAAGGAAAAGUCCAGUCCCCUGUGCUUAGCAGAACAACAGGCUGUUCCCUGCUGAUCAGACCUCACACAGAAGCCCCCAGGACCAGGCCAGGGGCAACUGCUGAGAAAGCAAUGUGUCAGCUCAAGUCUUACCCUCUGGCAACCUUUUGGUAAGCAGUGCUUCUCAACUUGACCUUGGAUGCCAUCAACUUAACUCCUAAGUCAGUUAUAAGUGUCCUGAUGUUCAACCCACUGUUCUGGAGGAAGAUGUGAGGGGGAAAGAUUGUUCCCACACCUUUUUACUAUUCUUUCUGACUGCAGCACUGACUGAAGAAUUUCCUCUUGGACUUGAAGGCUCAGCAGCAACAGCAUGCUCAGACAUGUUCUCUGCCUACCCCUUUCAGACACAGAGCAAGCUCCCGGAGGCCAGGGAUGACCAUCUAGAACCACCCAGUAUACCAUCAGCACAUGAUUUGUUGGCCUCAUCUCUUUCCCCCACUGGCUGGCUGAUGCCCAGAUUCUGCACCGAGAGCCUCAUGCACAGUGUGGUUUAUCUUCUGUUGGGGCAGGAGGUAGUGGUUGAAACCACGCUGUUGGAGGAGCCUGCCUGCUUGCCACUCUUUGCUCCACUGCUUCUAGCCCAUGGUCCCCUGGUUGAGCAUCUGCUAACACUGUGUAGCAUUUUCUCACCUCUAAACUGGAAGGCAGUACUCACCUUACAGGGUGGUCGCGGGGAUUAAAUUGGACAACACAUGUAACAUGUUG